Molecule: ribosomal RNA, 253 nt
Filed under: uncultured bacterium
Lineage: Bacteria
Description: partial 16S ribosomal RNA
Rfam family: Bacterial small subunit ribosomal RNA
Source: RNAcentral
UACAGAGGGUGCGAACGUUGCUCGGAAUUACUGGGCGUAAAGCGCAUGUAGGCUGGUCUGCGUGUCAGAUGUGAAAUCCCCGGGCUCAACCCGGGAACUGCAUCUGAAACUGCAGGCCUUGAGUACUGGAGAGGGUGGCGGAAUUCCUGGUGUAGAGGUGAAAUUCGUAGAUAUCAGGAGGAACACCGGUGGCGAAGGCGGCCACCUGGACAGUUACUGACGCUGAGAUGCGAAAGCGUGGGGAGCAAACAGG